Molecule: long non-coding RNA, 518 nt
Filed under: Gallus gallus (chicken)
Lineage: Eukaryota; Metazoa; Chordata; Aves; Galliformes; Phasianidae
Description: lncRNA (ENSGALG00010028814.1)
Source: RNAcentral
UGGGGUUUCUUUGGGGGAAGGGUGGGGCGCCGCUCUGCCCUAUGGGGGAUCGCUGUGCCCUAUAGGGGAAGCUGUGCCCUAUGGGGGGUCGCUGUGCCCUGUAGGGGAAAGCUGUGCCCUAUGGGGGAGCUGUGUCCUAUAGGGGAAAGCUGUGCUCUAUGGGGGAGCUGUGUCCUAUAGGGGAAAGCUGUGCCCUAUGGGGGAUCGCUGUGCCCUAUAGGGGAAAGCUGUGCUCUAUGGGGGAGCUCUGUGCCCUAUGGGGGAUCGCUCUGCCCUAUAGGGGAAAGCUGUGCCCUAUGGGGGAGCUGUGCCCUAUGGAGGAGGGCUGUGCCCUAUGGGGGAUCGCUCUGCCCUAUAGGGGAAAGCUGUGCCCUAUGGGGGACACAUAUCCACGUAUGGGAUUCGGCACUGGGGUUUGGGAUGAGGGUUUAGGGUUGGGAUUUGGGCUUUGGGAUCUGCUCUGGGUGUAGGACUGGGAUUGGGAGCAGGGAUUGGGAUUUGGGAUUGGGAUUUGGGAU